AACUUUUAAACCAUAAUUUCUCAUCUUGUGGCUAAUUCAUUAGUCCUGCAAAGGCAAUCUAGUCCCCAGAGAGGAAGGGGGUUUGUUUUGGCAAAGGGUUGUUAUCAUCUUUGUCUCCAAGUUACACUAUAAACUAAGUACCUCCCAGAGUUAGUUCGGCCUAUGCCCAAGAAUGAACAAGGAUAGCUUGGAGGUGAGAAGCAAGGUGGAGGUGGUUAGGUCAAAUUACUUUUACCGUCAUAAUUUUCUCAGUUACAAUUUUUGCAAAGGCAGUUUCAUUAUGCUACUAUAAAUAGAACCGGUAGGCUCUACAUUAGUUGACCUGGACAGACAUUCAGAUGAAAUAUUAAGUGAAAGAAAACAAGUUUCAA
This is a long non-coding RNA of Sapajus apella (tufted capuchin), 371 nucleotides long. RefSeq lists it as uncharacterized. The record is from RefSeq and is a predicted model, not a curated record. The transcript has 3 exons. NCBI's taxonomy places the organism in Eukaryota, Metazoa, Chordata, Mammalia, Primates, Cebidae.